GGUCGAAAUAAUUCUACUCUAACUCAGCAAAGACUGUCGAUCCAAAAUGAUCCUAGUGAGCUCUUACAAUCCAACGUGACACCUAGCAGUAUGUAGCGGCAACUUAGUAGAACUGAAAUAAACCUCUAGGUGUAGUUAACAUAUGAUUCAGUCCCUCUAUCGUGAGUCCCGACUAGAUGGCAGAUCAUGGAUAAAUCGUCAAACCUCAACAUCAGUCACAUGAUAGAUUCGAUUAGCUCAAGUCCAGUUGU
This 251-nucleotide long non-coding RNA is filed under the name Elaeis guineensis (African oil palm). RNAcentral describes it as "long non-coding RNA (EGUI_LNC026624)". Lineage: Eukaryota; Viridiplantae; Streptophyta; Magnoliopsida; Arecales; Arecaceae. The record is from RNAcentral.